RNAcentral lists this ribosomal RNA (253 nucleotides) under uncultured bacterium. RNAcentral's name for it is "partial 16S ribosomal RNA". It matches the Rfam family "Bacterial small subunit ribosomal RNA", at positions 524 to 776 of the family's 1533-position model. The record is from RNAcentral.
UACGGAGGGUGCAAGCGUUAUCCGGAUUCACUGGGUUUAAAGGGUGCGUAGGUGGGCAAGUAAGUCAGUGGUGAAAUCCCCGAGCUUAACUUGGGAACUGCCAUUGAUACUAUUUGUCUUGAAUACUGUGGAGGUUAGCGGAAUAUGUCAUGUAGCGGUGAAAUGCUUAGAUAUGACAUAGAACAUCAAUUGCGAAGGCAGCUGGCUACACAAAUAUUGACACUGAUGCACGAAAGCGUGGGGAUCAAACAGG